UCGAAUAUUAUCUUUCUCAGUAAGGGAAACCGGUGCGGAUCUUUCCAAUGCCGGUGCGGCCCCGCCACUGUAGCUCGGACGAAAGCGCAAAGAAGCCACUGGAAUUUUUCCGGGAAGGCGCGCUGUCAGGAUGAAGGGAAGUCAGGAAAUCUGCUGAGGAAAGGUUUAGGGA
Non-coding RNA from Synergistes sp. 3_1_syn1, 172 nucleotides. The record is from Rfam. Lineage: Bacteria; Thermotogati; Synergistota; Synergistia; Synergistales; Synergistaceae.